Non-coding RNA from Anas platyrhynchos (mallard), 568 nucleotides. The record is from RefSeq and is a predicted model, not a curated record. NCBI's taxonomy places the organism in Eukaryota, Metazoa, Chordata, Aves, Anseriformes, Anatidae.
ACUUAAUGGCCCUGAUGAGCCUCACCUGGGACCACUUUGCCCACAGCCCAGCCCCCUGGCCCAGCAGUCCUUUUUCUGCUGACGCUGCAGCAGGGUUGCUCUCCAGUUCUUCAUGGUUCUGCCUUGCUGGGGGCCCUGCUGGGCAGGAUUGGGGGCAUCCCAACUUCUCCUUGUGGUGAUAGUCCAAGCCCAGCAAAGAAGCUGCUGCUUUCAGUGAAGCCACAUUCAAGACUGUCUACCAUAAAAGCUGGGAUCUGGAGGGGUCCUGUCCUUCUGGGAACAAGGAGGUCACUUCUACAUAAUGCUCCUCCUUAGGGAAAAGGGGUUAUACCUAUCUCUCCUGAAUUGCAAAUGAGGAUCUGCCAAGCAAGUUGCAGUGCCCGAUGCUUCACGGAAGGCGUUAUCCUCUGCUUGGUUACACCUGGAGGGAAGCUUCUUCCAAGCACUGAUCACGAGAAGUCUAGACCAUAAGUCAUUUCCAGCCUGUAUAGUAAUGCAACGCAUCAGAAACACAACUUCUAUUCCAAUUCAUGUAAAUACUCCUCUUUAGAACAUCUUGAACUGCUUU